This is an RNA transcript of Arachis duranensis, 2473 nucleotides long. RefSeq lists it as uncharacterized. The record is from RefSeq and is a predicted model, not a curated record. Lineage: Eukaryota; Viridiplantae; Streptophyta; Magnoliopsida; Fabales; Fabaceae. The transcript has 3 exons.
UCAACCAAAUUCUUAAAAAAAAAAAAAAACUGCAGCAAUAUUUAUCCUCUCCCAUAAAGAAAGGCAAUAUUAAAUUAUUUAUGUUGAAGUGAAACCCCACCGCCAAAAUCAUUCCAACCGCAAUGGGAAGACCAUCUUCCACAAUCGAAGUCCCUAAUGAACGACGCCGUUUCGACCAUCGCCGCACCACUCCUGACUCCGACCUCUCCGACGGUUACCGCCGCCGCCGCCGCCGAAGCCCUAGCUAUGACUCUUACGACCGCAACCGGGACCGCCGCCGUGAUCGCCGCCGAUCAACUUCACCUGAGCGUAGAAGCCCAAGGCCUACCGCCUACAACGACGGACUUCCUAACGGCGACGUCCUACCGAAGAAAUUCGGCCGUCGUAGCGGCGGCUCGUACCUAGACCGUGACCGCCGCCCGGAUUCUGAUUCUGACGAGGAGCUGAAAGGAUUGAGCUUCGAGGAGUACCGGAGGCUGAAGAGGCAGAAGAUGCGAAAGUCGCUGAAGCAUUGCAUCUGGAACGUCACGCCGAGCCCUCCCAGGCGCGAGAACGAACAAGAAUCGGAGGAAGAAAGAGCUGAAGAGAUCACUGUGAAAUUUGGUGUUGAAAAAGGCGAUUCGAGCGACAAGGAGGUUAAACCUAGCGAAAAAUCCAAAUCUGAACCAAAAUCGGAGAAUUUUUCCGAGUCGGAAGCUGAAUCAGAUGACUCGCGUUCGAGGACAAAGAGGAGGAGGGUUUCUGGUUUGAAACGCAGGAGAAGAUCGAAUAGCGAUAGUGAAUCAGAGGAAAAUGAAUCCGAGUCAGAGGAUAGUGAAUCUGAAUCAGACGAUUCGAUUGCAAGGAGGAAGAGAAAAAGAAGUUCAAAAUCGAAGCAUAGGAGAAGGAGAUCUAAUAAUGAUGGUGAAUCAGAGGGAAGUGAUGCUGAAGAAGAGGAGCGCAAAAGUAGGAGGGGUAAGAGGAAGAGUGGUAAGACCAGAGGGAACAGAAAAAAGAGAAGGUAUAGUGAUUCUGAUGAGAGUGAAGAGAGCGAAAGCGAUGAUUCUGACGACAGUGGAAGGAGAAAGAGGAAACAUUCUUCGCGGUCGAAGAGAAGCAGAAGAGAAAGAAGAAAACGAAGAAGUAGAAAAUCUGAAUCAGAAAAAGAGGUUUCUGAAUCAGAAGAGGAAAAGGGUUUUGGUGAUGCAAAAAACAAAGCAGUAGUUGAAGAGGUGAUGAAAACAGAGGUGGAUCCCGAGGCUUUGAAAUUGAAGGAACUAUUUGAAUCUCAGAAGAAACCGGCUUUAGAUAAUGAACCCGCUGUAGGGCCAAUGCCUUUGCCAAGGGCAGAGGGUCAUAUAAGUUAUGGGGGCGCCCUUAGGCCCGGUGAAGGUGAUGCAAUUGCACAGUAUGUUCAGCAAGGGAAGCGUAUCCCACGAAGAGGUGAAGUGGGUCUUUCUGCAGAGGAGAUUCAGAAGUUUGAGACCCUUGGUUAUGUGAUGAGUGGUAGCAGGCAUCAGAGGAUGAAUGCCAUUCGUAUUAGGAAGGAAAACCAGGUUUAUAGUGCUGAGGACAAGCGUGCUUUGGCUAUGUUUAACUACGAGGAGAAGGCCAAGAGGGAGCACAAGGUUAUGGCUGAUCUGCAGCGGCUCGUGCAGCGCCACAUUGGGCAGGAUGUUGGCCCAACUCAUGAUCCUUUCGCUGCAAAAACCUCGGAUGGUGCUGAUGCUUGAUUUCUUUCAUCCAUGGUCAGCUAGUUUUACUCUUUAUCUUGUAGUUUGUUGCACUUUUAGACUAUAUUUUGAUUGUGCUAGCUCCAUGUUUUUUCACCUUUUGUUGGUAUGUGUAGACUUGGAGAAUGAGGACAAUGUUUAUCCUUCUAAUGAAUUUGUAUGGAAUUCCUUUAUUGCUGCCAAAAGUUUAUGUGCCGAAGUACAAGAAUGGAGGAGAAUUUUGGCUCUCAGUGUGCAACACAAUUCUUUUUAUUGGUAUUGAGGCAUGUUAUAGCCAUUGGGAUGUUUUGGCUGAAAAUGCUUCAUCUGUCAUAUGCAUCGACUAUUCCGUUUCUGCGUCCCCUUCCUCUUUCGAUUCUCACGUUCAGUGAAUAUUGCUAGAAAUGGUUCUUGUUCCCUGUGUUAAAAUACUAUUCCUCAGUGCGAAUGAGCAUAACAUGUUUAAUUAAGGUCACUACUCUCUUUUCAAACCAUCAGUUGCAACAGCAAAGCUGCAUCCGGGUACUACCAGAGUACCAAUGUAUCAUCAAAUUCAUGAUUUUGCUGAGUUUGAGUUGUUGGACCUUGGUGAGUGGCAUGUCUGUUGUUUUCUUUGAAAUUGGCAGGAUUGAGAAAUGCUUGUAAUGGGUAUGGAAAAAAUUUGAUGAGUAAUUAUGACCUACCCUUGAUUGUCAGAUGUCACAUUGAAAAGAAUGACAUGACUAAUUAACUUUGUAAUGAAAACAUGGUAUAAGAAAACUUAAGAAAAUGUUAAAGUAGCA